This is a non-coding RNA of Kogia breviceps (pygmy sperm whale), 1096 nucleotides long. The record is from RefSeq and is a predicted model, not a curated record. Lineage: Eukaryota; Metazoa; Chordata; Mammalia; Artiodactyla; Physeteridae.
CCGUCCCAGGAGUCCUGACAUUGGCUAGCCAGAGCUCGUCGCGUCUGCCUGAAAGGCCGCUCCUCUACCAAGAGCACUCAAAUUCCCCAAGAAACCCUCUGAGGGGUUAGCAACCACCUCUAGCAGAGGAAACGGCUGUGCAAAGGAGGGAACUUGGCUGUUGGAACUAAGUGGAGUCCAUGGUGCUGGGGAAUCCAUGGUGCAAGGACGAGCCUGCCCUGAGAUUGGAGAGACUAAGAGACAAACACAUCUUUAAUCUGCACAUCUCUUCUACGCUUCAGGAUUGUAUAUUCAAUUGCCUCCAGACAUCUCACUCCCAAAUGUGCCUGAAACUCAACAUUUUCAAAGAUUUUCCUGGUGAUCACAUAGCAGGAGGCUCUGUUUGCCACAAGUAUUGUAAUACUAGAGGUAAUAAAGAUGGUUGUCAGUUGCAAAGGAGAAUCUCAAGGGUGGAGUUCAGGUAACACUGUAGGGCAACUGAAUAAGGGUAGGACUAAAUGGGUUGAAUUAUAGAGCGAUUGAGGUGAGUCAGGCAAUUAGAAGUGGAUUUAAAAUAUAUCAUCUGACCCAUGUCGUGAUGGCUUUAUGAAAAUGAUGUUUUCAUAAAUUGACUUCAUGUUUCUAUAAACCAGAACAUAGGAUUUUUGAGCAGGAACCUUUGAGAUCAUCUAGUGACCAUUUCAUUUUCCAAAAAGUGAACAUUUGCCUACUUGUGACUUGUCCAAGGUCAUAUACAUCCAAUAAUGGGAGGAGAGCGAGGACUAGAAUCCAUAUCCCCAGAUUCCAAGUACUUUGCUUUCUCUAUUACAUAAAUAUUAAAUCAGUUCUAAGAACUCAAUAUUCCAAACUCCCCAUGAAGUAAGCUGUAUGCAUAGAAAAAUUAUUGAAGAUAAAGAAACUGAGGCUCAGAAGGGUGGAGUAAAUUUACCAAAUCCCAUGGCUGGACUAGACCAAAGCCCAGGCCUCACAAUCCCUGGGCCAAUAGGCUUCUACUAAACCAUAUUGCUUCAGAGUUUAAAAAAAGUGAAAUCUUAAAUGCCAUGUGCCUAGGCAUAGAAUUCACUCUUUCAACCUACAGGUAUUUUACUUUGUGCUG